GACGAACGCUGGCGGCGUGCUUAACACAUGCAAGUCGAGCGGUAAGGCCCGUUUCGGGGGUACACGAGCGGCGAACGGGUGAGUAACACGUGGGUGACCUGCCCUUAGCUCUGGGAUAAGCCUGGGAAACUGGGUCUAAUACCGGAUAUGACUCCAUGACGCAUGUUGUGGGGUGGAAAGCCUUGUGCGGCUAGGGAUGGGCCCGCGGCCUAUCAGCUUGUUGGUGGGGUGAUGGCCUACCAAGGCGACGACGGGUAGCCGGCCUGAGAGGGCGACCGGCCACACUGGGACUGAGACACGGCCCAGACUCCUACGGGAGGCAGCAGGUGGGGAAUCUUGCGCAAUGGGCGAAAGCCUGACGCAGCGACGCCGCGUGAGGGAUGACGGCC
This 389-nucleotide ribosomal RNA is filed under the name uncultured bacterium. RNAcentral describes it as "bacterial SSU rRNA". It matches the Rfam family "Bacterial small subunit ribosomal RNA", at positions 28 to 416 of the family's 1533-position model. The record is from RNAcentral.